Molecule: unclassified non-coding RNA, 415 nt
Filed under: Gymnodiscus capillaris
Lineage: Eukaryota; Viridiplantae; Streptophyta; Magnoliopsida; Asterales; Asteraceae
Description: partial contains external transcribed spacer and 18S ribosomal RNA
Source: RNAcentral
CAACUUSCACSUGGCAUWCYUYUUCAGUUAYAYGUCAAUGCUUUUAUAGUCUUGAUUGUAUUGUGGGUUUCCUGUGUUGCAUACCUCCAAUAAGGUAUCGUGAUGGUUUAUCAAAGUCCCUUUUUAUCGUGCGUUGCAUUUGUGACGCAUGAUGAACCUUGAAGUGAUCUCUAUGAACCAUUAAGUUGAUGCACAAGCAUUGACUUUGUGGACCAUUGAGCGUUGCUUGGUAUCCUGGAUGCGGAACAUGAUUUGGGCAUGGGGUCUAUUCGUAGAUCUUUUACUGUCCUUCUCGAGUGUUCUUUAAAACGACGGUUCAUGCGCGCCUAGGCUCGUACCUGCGUGAUGUUCUUUGUCGAAAAGGAAUGCUACCUGGUUGAUCCUGCCAGUAKUCAUAUGCUUGUCUCAAAGAUUA